RNAcentral lists this long non-coding RNA (350 nucleotides) under Astyanax mexicanus (Mexican tetra). RNAcentral's name for it is "lncRNA (ENSAMXG00005005164.1)". The record is from RNAcentral. Lineage: Eukaryota; Metazoa; Chordata; Actinopteri; Characiformes; Acestrorhamphidae.
AGAGAGUGUGUCACGGCGGAGCUAUGAAAACAAACAGCUGGAACAGUGAGCAGUAAAGGCCUGUAAACGUGGCUGGACCUGAGGUGGAUCUGAGGGAUUUCACAUUAAUCCUGUUAGAGCAGCGGCCCGACCGUGAGACGUACUGUUGUGUUACCCACACGCUGAACACGGAGAAAAAAACACACACAGAUCUGUCAAACAGCGUGAGGAGUAUCAGGAUAAUUGACUCUGUGUGGCCUGUAAUCAGCGGCGCUGCCUGGGCUGGAGGCUGACAUGUCCAGCGUGAAGCGUCGAGAUGUGAACUGCAGACACCAGCAGCAAUAAAACUGGAGUCAGAAAAUCCCGGCCCA